GCCAGUGUGGUGCAAUGGUUUGGACAGUGGACUAUGACUUUGAAGAUCAGGGUUCAAUUCCCCACUCUGCCA
Molecule: non-coding RNA, 72 nt
Organism: Phrynosoma platyrhinos (Desert horned lizard)
Lineage: Eukaryota; Metazoa; Chordata; Lepidosauria; Squamata; Phrynosomatidae
Source: the annotation of a GenBank genome assembly